This 75-nucleotide transfer RNA is filed under the name Chlamydia trachomatis. Its description in RNAcentral is "tRNA-Met(cat)". It matches the Rfam family "tRNA". Rfam says of the family: Transfer RNA (tRNA) molecules are approximately 80 nucleotides in length. Their secondary structure includes four short double-helical elements and three loops (D, anti-codon, and T loops). Further hydrogen bonds mediate the characteristic L-shaped molecular structure. tRNAs have two regions of fundamental functional importance: the anti-codon, which is responsible for specific mRNA codon recognition, and the 3' end, to which the tRNAs corresponding amino acid is attached (by aminoacyl-tRNA synthetases). tRNAs cope with the degeneracy of the genetic code in two manners: having more than one tRNA (with a specific anti-codon) for a particular amino acid; and 'wobble' base-pairing, i.e. permitting non-standard base-pairing at the 3rd anti-codon position. The record is from RNAcentral. Lineage: Bacteria; Pseudomonadati; Chlamydiota; Chlamydiia; Chlamydiales; Chlamydiaceae.
CGCGCGGUAGAGCAGCUCGGUAGCUCGUCGGGCUCAUAACCCGGAGGUCGUUGGUUCGAAUCCAGCCCGCGCAAC